UACGUAGGGUGCGAGCGUUAAUCGGAUUUACUGGGCGUAAAGCGUGCGCAGGCGGCCCGUUAAGACAGGUGUGAAAGCCCUGGGCUCAACCUAGGAAUUGCGCUGGAGACUGGCGGGCUGGAGUACGGUAGAGGGGGGUGGAAUUCCUGGUGUAGCAGUGAAAUGCGUAGAGAUCAGGAGGAACACCGAUGGCGAAGGCAGCCCCCUGGGCCUGUACUGACGCUCAGGCACGAAAGCGUGGGGAGCAAACAGG
This 253-nucleotide ribosomal RNA is filed under the name uncultured microorganism. Its description in RNAcentral is "partial 16S ribosomal RNA". It matches the Rfam family "Bacterial small subunit ribosomal RNA", at positions 524 to 776 of the family's 1533-position model. The record is from RNAcentral.